AUACGGAGGGUGCAAGCGUUAAUCGGAAUUACUGGGCGUAAAGCGCGCGUAGGCGGUUUGGUAAGUCGGAUGUGAAAGCCCCGGGCUCAACCUGGGAAUUGCAUUCGAUACUGCCAGACUAGAGUAUGGUAGAGGGAAGUGGAAUUCCGGGUGUAGCGGUGAAAUGCGUAGAUAUCCGGAGGAAUACCAGUGGCGAAGGCGACUUCCUGGACCAAUACUGACGCUGAGGUGCGAAAGCGUGGGGAGCAAGCAGGAUUAGAAACCCUUGUAGUCC
Molecule: ribosomal RNA, 274 nt
Filed under: uncultured bacterium
Lineage: Bacteria
Description: partial 16S ribosomal RNA
Rfam family: Bacterial small subunit ribosomal RNA
Source: RNAcentral